UAGGGAAUCUUCCACAAUGGACGCAAGUCUGAUGGAGCAACGCCGCGUGGGUGAAGAAGGGUUUCGGCUCGUAAAGCUCUGUUGUUAAAGAAGAACGUGGGUAAGAGUAACUGUUUACCCAGUGACGGUAUUUAACCAGAAAGCCACGGCUAACUACGUGCCAA
RNAcentral lists this ribosomal RNA (164 nucleotides) under uncultured bacterium. RNAcentral describes it as "partial 16S rRNA". It matches the Rfam family "Bacterial small subunit ribosomal RNA", at positions 355 to 511 of the family's 1533-position model. The record is from RNAcentral.